This 76-nucleotide transfer RNA is filed under the name Daphnia galeata. It matches the Rfam family "tRNA". Rfam says of the family: Transfer RNA (tRNA) molecules are approximately 80 nucleotides in length. Their secondary structure includes four short double-helical elements and three loops (D, anti-codon, and T loops). The record is from Rfam by way of RNAcentral. Lineage: Eukaryota; Metazoa; Arthropoda; Branchiopoda; Diplostraca; Daphniidae.
GGGGGCAUAGCUCAGAUUGUAGAGCAUCCGACUGCAUGAGAUCGGAUUGUCCCCGGUCCGAACCCGGGUGUCCCCU